UACGUAGGGUGCAAGCGUUAAUCGGAAUUACUGGGCGUAAAGCGUGCGCAGGCGGUUCGCUGUGUCCGAUGUGAAAGCCCCGGGCUUAACCUGGGAAUGGCAUUGGAAACUGGCGGGCUUGAGUGUGGCAGAGGGGGGUGGAAUUCCGCGUGUAGCAGUGAAAUGCGUAGAGAUGCGGAGGAACACCGAUGGCGAAGGCAGCCCCCUGGGCUAACACUGACGCUCAGGCACGAAAGCGUGGGGAGCAAACAGG
Molecule: ribosomal RNA, 253 nt
Filed under: uncultured bacterium
Lineage: Bacteria
Description: partial 16S ribosomal RNA
Rfam family: Bacterial small subunit ribosomal RNA
Source: RNAcentral